AGUCGAGCGAAUCAAUAGGAGCUUGCUCCUGUUGGUUAGCGGCGGACGGGUGAGUAACACGUGGGCAACCUGCCUGUAAGACUGGGAUAACACCGGGAAACCGGUGCUAAUACCGGAUAAUCCUUUUCCUCUCAUGAGGAAAAGCUGAAAGUCGGUUUCGGCUGACACUUACAGAUGGGCCCGCGGCGCAUUAGCUAGUUGGUGAGGUAACGGCUCACCAAGGCGACGAUGCGUAGCCGACCUGAGAGGGUGAUCGGCCACACUGGGACUGAGACACGGCCCAGACUCCUACGGGAGGCAGCAGU
This 305-nucleotide ribosomal RNA is filed under the name Bacillus sp. B53S. RNAcentral's name for it is "bacterial SSU rRNA". It matches the Rfam family "Bacterial small subunit ribosomal RNA", at positions 60 to 355 of the family's 1533-position model. The record is from RNAcentral. Lineage: Bacteria; Bacillati; Bacillota; Bacilli; Caryophanales; Bacillaceae. RNAcentral also lists the same sequence under 4 other names.